AUCAGUUCAGCACAUAGCAGCACAUCCUGGUGUUGCCGAGGUAUUGGCUAGAAUUUAUUCUUAAUUAGAUGUUUAAAGCAUUUACUCCACUGUUAAAGUUGUCUUAGUGUAGUCAGGUAUUGACAUGACAUAAGAAAGCAUGAAACUACCACAUUUACAAAAUAUGAGGGAUUUGGGGUUUGGUUUUUUUUGUUUGUUUGGUUGGUUUUUUUUUUUUUUGGUUUUUAACUAUUUUAGACUCAAAUAAUAUCAUACCUGUGUACUUGUACAUAAAAACAAAAUUAUUACUGAGUAAAAAGAUUAAUAUAUGAACUAUCACAGCUGUCGUUAACAGUAUUAAUGAGGUCUGAAUCCGGAGGGUCCCCUGAUUACCAUGCUGACAGUUCACAUGUCAUAGGGCAGAACUCAGCAAGUCCUGUGGUUUCAGGUGUUAAUAAGUAAACGUCUCAUCCAACCUCACUGUGCUCAGCUUUGAAAAGAACAAAGAUUAUACCUCUGUACAUGUGGGUAGAUUUAAAGUGUCCUGUUUUGAUACUAAUUUUGAAAGUUGUUUAUCUUCUCUUGAUAUCUUGGUAAAACUGGCCGUAAGAGAAACCAUUUGAAUAUAUUUGAUUUUGUCAUAGCAUUUAUAAAAUGUAUGUUUCCCAUUAUAUUGAGAGUUUUAUUUUAAAAAUCCCCUUAUGUUUCUAGCACACCUUGGCCAUCACAGUAGACAAAGAAUUCAGAGAAGGCGAGUGGGUUAGGCUGGGGGAAUGAGUAUUCAUUUUUUUCUCCUGACAUUGUCUCUUAAGAAGAAAGUGCUGGCUGGCAUCUUUAAUGCGGGUUGUGAGCCUAAUUACAUAAGCAUGAGCCAGAAGGGAGAGGACUUUGCUCCCUGGCCUUUAAGAAGUGCCUCGUAGGUAAUCAUGGAAGUCACAGGUAAGUGCAGGAGCUUGACCGUAGGCAAGAGGUCUCUAAGGUGUUCUUUUCCUUUGUCUGAGUGUAUAGUAUUACGAUGCCUAGAAGGGGGGCGCUGUUGGCCCUCCCUUACAGGCACUUUCUAUUUCUUGCUGUAACUACAGCAAUCACAUACAGUACAGACAACCUCAAUCUGUUUAUAUUAGUGUGUAAAUAGAAAAACUGUAAACAGCUGUCUAGUCUUCUCCGCAGGCAUUUUGGGAAUGCUUCUAUACUCUGUUCUACUUUGUUAAUGGGGAAUAACAGCACAUCCUAGAUCACCUGUGAACUUUGGGGUCUUCUGAUUGCCCUUGGUAUCCUGAUAUUCUCAUUUCCAAGAUGAGGUAGAGACAGGGUUUCCUUGCAUAACAGAUUUGAGCACCUGCGUUCUGCAAACACAAUCUCAAGAGCAGUUCCAUAGCUCAGCUAGCCAUUGCUGCCCCGAUGCUUGCCCUCCACCAACGGAGGUCGCCUCUGCAGAGUCUACACUUUGCCCAUAACCCUCAUUCCCCAGACCUAGGCUUUGAGUAACUGCUCUGAUUCUGUCCGCCCACCCACCAGUGACUCACCACUCUGCACACUCCCAUCUUCAGAGAUGCGGAGUCUCUCAGGACAGCAGCUUCAGAUCAUGGUAUACAGAUACCAGUAGAAGAAUCGGACAUUGUACUGCCCUUAGCACCUUAACUCUACUUAACAAUCACAACUAGAUUCAGAAAUACAAGAAAGAUAUAUAGACUAUGUCAGGUCCUUAAGUUAGGAAUUAGGACCAAAGGCUAUUAACUUACAUUCACAUUAUCCUCAUGUAGCCAAGAGUGGUGAUGUUUUGGAGAAUACCAGUCCAGCCAGGCUAACAUGAAGAUGACAGAACUGUGGUGUUGAGCCUGAAGACAUCCUAAAAUGGUUUCCCUUGCUCCAUUUUUCUUCACAUUUGCUUACAUAGCAAAGACCAGCAUUAAAUGUCUAAAGGAAUUUUUAAUUUGAGAGCUAGUAUUACAAAAUAAACCUGCUAAAACGGGCUUUAAAAGACAGCAAAAUAAGCCAUAUGUAGUGGUGUUAAAACUAAUCCCAGCACUCAGGAAGCUGAGACAGGAGACUCGCUGGGCAUACAAGGUCAACCUGGGAUAAAUAGUAUCAGCCACCAUGACUACAAAGGGAAAGACUGUCACAAAGGAAAAGAAGAAGGAAGGAAAAGCCAGCAGUCAACCAUCAUGUGUUUCUGUAGAUUCAGAUGUGAUAGAUUCAGGAUGCUUCUUAUAAAACAUCUGUGUCAUGUUCCUUAAAGCAGGUGCGCUCCUUUAAGACCAUGACAGUAGGCUAAGGGAAAGAGUGAAAUCCAACACUCAAAGUGAGAGCUUAUAUUUAACCCUAAAGUGGAUUGAAAUCGGGGAGAGAUGUAAUACAGGAUACAGGUGGGCUAAUUAUGCAAUAUUUCUUCUUUCUAAUUCUCUAACUCUGUACUGUUCCUAAAAAUGGAUGAGUGAGUCUCUGUGGUGUUGCCUGCUCAAUGUGCAUAUCCUUGGUAGACAUUUCUCAUAGUGUGUACUUAAAAAGUGCCUGACAUUGAUUUGUGUUGAUUUCUAAGUCCAUGUAAUAAACGAUACAUGUUUUCUAUGAUAGAU
Molecule: long non-coding RNA, 2555 nt
Filed under: Rattus norvegicus (Norway rat)
Lineage: Eukaryota; Metazoa; Chordata; Mammalia; Rodentia; Muridae
Description: long non-coding RNA NONRATT019297
Source: RNAcentral